AGCAGCCGCGGUAAUUCCAGCUCCAAUAGCGUAUAUUAAAGUUGUUGCAGUUAAAAGCUCGUAGUUGAAUUUCGGGAUCAAUAUAUUGGUCAUGCUUAGGUAUGUACUGGUAUUAUUGAUUUCUCCCUUCUGAAGAACCAUGAUGUCAUUAAUUUGAUGUCGUGGGGAAUCAGGACUGUUUGAAAAAUUGAGUGUUUAAAGCAGGCUUUCGCUUGAAUACAUUAGCAUGGAAUAAUGAAAUAGGACGUUUGAUUCUAUUUUGUUGGUUUCUAGGAUCGACAUAAUGAUUAAUAGGGAUAGUUGGGGGCAUUAGUAUUCAAUUGUCAGAGGUGAAAUUCUUGGAUUUAUUGAAGACUAACUACUGCGAAAGCAUUUGCCAAGGAUGUUUUCAUUAAUCAAGAA
This 402-nucleotide ribosomal RNA is filed under the name uncultured Glomeromycotina. RNAcentral's name for it is "SSU rRNA". It matches the Rfam family "Eukaryotic small subunit ribosomal RNA", at positions 569 to 983 of the family's 1831-position model. Lineage: Eukaryota; Fungi; Glomeromycota. The record is from RNAcentral.